CAUUAGCGUUGAUUGGUCUUGGUGCCAUGCGAAAAACAUGUGGAUCGUGGGCUAUGUGACCCCUCUGUGGGGGGUAUUUUGUCGCGAACUUGGAGAUUUGGCUGAUGGAUAUAUGAUAGAUAAACAAAAUACAACUCUUAGCAAUGGAUAUCUUGGUUCCCACAACGAUGAAGAACGCAGCGAAAUGCGAUACGUAAUGCGAAUUGCAGAAUUCAGUGAAUCAUCGAAUCUUUGAACGCAAGUUGCGCUUUCGAGAGCCCUCGGAAGCAUGCCUCUCUGAGUAUCGGUUUCUAUAUCUCUCACACACUGGUGGUGUGUGGUGGUGGAGGAUGGGAGUUGCGCACGUCUCUGCAUCUCCUGAAGUCAGCGUCGGCCGAAGUCCAUCGGGUUCUUGGAACGAUAAUCCGUCAUGGCGCCCAAACCAUACACAAG
RNAcentral lists this unclassified non-coding RNA (432 nucleotides) under Polymyxa graminis. Its description in RNAcentral is "partial contains ITS1, 5.8S rRNA and ITS2". The stretch from base 133 to 286 matches the Rfam family "5.8S ribosomal RNA". The record is from RNAcentral. Lineage: Eukaryota; Endomyxa; Phytomyxea; Plasmodiophorida; Plasmodiophoridae.